Molecule: ribosomal RNA, 514 nt
Filed under: uncultured bacterium
Lineage: Bacteria
Description: bacterial SSU rRNA
Rfam family: Bacterial small subunit ribosomal RNA (bases 1-418)
Source: RNAcentral
GGGGCCUUGUACACACCGAGUCCUGUACACACCGGGGCCUUGUACACACCGAUCGGGGCUCCAGAGACGGAGCUCUUCAAUUGGUCGGUGACAGGUGCUGCAUGGCUGUCGUCAGUUCGUGUCGUGGGAUAUUGGGUUAAGUCCCGCAACGAGCGCAACCCUUGCCAUUAGUUGCCAUCAUUUAGUUGGGAACUCUGGAGGGACUGCCGGCGCCAAGCCGGAGGAAGGUGGGGAUGACGUCAAGUCAUCAUGGCCUUUAUGGCUGGGGCUACACACGUACUACAAUGGCGCCUACAAAGGGCUGCGAAGCGGCGACGUGAAGCAAAUCCCAAAAAAGACGCCUCAGUUCGGAUAGGAGUCUGCAACUCGACUCCAUGAAGUCGGAAUCGCUAGUAAUCGCGGAUCAGAAAUCCGUGCGCUCUACUCUUGCUGCUGCUAAUUAAUUCAAUAUAUUCAUUCUGUGGGGAUCCCGGGGGGGAAUAAGACACUGAAACGGGGGGCCUUGUACACACCG